RNAcentral lists this small nuclear RNA (99 nucleotides) under Chinchilla lanigera (long-tailed chinchilla). The record is from RNAcentral. Lineage: Eukaryota; Metazoa; Chordata; Mammalia; Rodentia; Chinchillidae.
UCACUCUGGCAACGCAUACACUAAAAUUAUAACGAAUCAGAGAUUAGCAUGCCCAUGAACAAAGACAGCAGGAAAACUGAUGAAAUGUUCCACUGUUGU